UCGUAACAAGGUUUCCGUAGGUGAACCUGCGGAAGGAUCAUUACCGAGUGAGGGCCCUCUGGGUCCAACCUCCCACCCGUGUUUAUUUUACCUUGUUGCUUCGGCGGGCCCGCCUUAACUGGCCGCCGGGGGGCUCACGCCCCCGGGCCCGCGCCCGCCGAAGACACCCUCGAACUCUGUCUGAAGAUUGAAGUCUGAGUGAAAAUAUAAAUUAUUUAAAACUUUCAACAACGGAUCUCUUGGUUCCGGCAUCGAUGAAGAACGCAGCGAAAUGCGAUACGUAAUGUGAAUUGCAAAUUCAGUGAAUCAUCGAGUCUUUGAACGCACAUUGCGCCCCCUGGUAUUCCGGGGGGCAUGCCUGUCCGAGCGUCAUUGCUGCCCUCAAGCCCGGCUUGUGUGUUGGGCCCCGUCCUCCGAUUUCCGGGGGACGGGCCCGAAAGGCAGCGGCGGCACCGCGUCCGGUCCUCGAGCGUAUGGGGCUUUGUCACCCGCUCUGUAGGCCCGGCCGGCGCUUGCCGAUCAACCCAAAUUUUUAUCCAGGUUGACCUCGGAUCAGGUAGGGAUACCCGCUGAACCUAAGCAUAUCA
Molecule: unclassified non-coding RNA, 587 nt
Filed under: Penicillium discolor
Lineage: Eukaryota; Fungi; Ascomycota; Eurotiomycetes; Eurotiales; Aspergillaceae
Description: sequence contains 18S rRNA gene, ITS1, 5.8S rRNA gene, ITS2, 28S rRNA gene
Rfam family: 5.8S ribosomal RNA (bases 220-372)
Source: RNAcentral